This 253-nucleotide ribosomal RNA is filed under the name uncultured bacterium. Its description in RNAcentral is "partial 16S ribosomal RNA". It matches the Rfam family "Bacterial small subunit ribosomal RNA", at positions 524 to 776 of the family's 1533-position model. The record is from RNAcentral.
GACGUAGGGGGCGAGCGUUGUCCGGAUUUAUUGGGCGUAAAGCGUGCGUAGGCGGCUGCGCAAGUCGGGUGUGAAACCCCGGGGCUCAACCCCGGAACUGCAUCCGAUACUGCGUGGCUAGAGGUAGGUAGGGGAGAUCGGAAUUCCUGGUGUAGCGGUGAAAUGCGUAGAUAUCUGGAGGAACACCGGUGGCGAAGGCGGCAUCCUGGACCGGUAUUGACGCUGAGGCGCGAAAGCCAGGGGAGCAAACGGG